CCUACGGGCGGCAGCAGUGAGGAAUAUUGGUCAAUGGGCGGAAGCCUGAACCAGCCAAGUAGCGUGCAGGAUGACGGCCCUACGGGUUGUAAACUGCUUUUAUACGGGAAUAACGCGCCUUACGUGUAGGGCUUUGCAUGUACCGUAUGAAUAAGGACCGGCUAAUUCCGUGCCAGCAGCCGCGGUAAUACGGAAGGUCCGGGCGGUCUCCGGAUUUAAUGGGGUUAAAGGGAGCGUAGGCCGCAUGUCAAGCGUGCUGUGAAAUGUCCGGGCUCAACCCGGGCCUUGCAGCGCGAACUGGCGUGCUUGAGUGCGCGGAAAGCAGGCGGAAUUCGUCGUGUAGCGGUGAAAUGCUUAGAUAUGACGAAGAACCCCGAUUGCGAAGGCAGCUUGCUGCAGCGGAACUGACGCUGAUGCUCGAAAGCGCGGGUAUCGAACAGGAUCAGAUACCCUGGUAGUC
This 460-nucleotide ribosomal RNA is filed under the name uncultured bacterium. Its description in RNAcentral is "partial 16S ribosomal RNA". It matches the Rfam family "Bacterial small subunit ribosomal RNA", at positions 338 to 795 of the family's 1533-position model. The record is from RNAcentral.